GGUUUCUCUGGUUUAUUCAGUGAUAUCAUCAUUUGCAUAGGCACCUAAGCAACUCACUGUGCCCCUACAUGCCAGGUUGUCUUGGAAGUUCUUUCCCAUAAAGGGAUGAAGCUUAGUUGGCAAAGUGAAAGUUGAUAUAAAUCUAUCUGGUAUCACUUAGAGGCAUGUUUCAAGACGUCUAUGAUGACCUGUCUUUAAUUUAGGUUUCAUUUCAACUGCAGCACCUAGAAUGUGUGACAUCAAGUCAGCAAGUGUCUUGUAUUUUUCUUCCGGGGCAAACAUUUGAGUAUGAAGGAGGCCGCUGACACUAAGGACACGCAUCGGGCUGAAUGGGGAGGAGAACCAAGAUGGAGGGUAUGGAGAUACUUGACAAGGGUGGAACUGCCUGUCAUAAGUUCUUGGCUUCCAAAUCCAAGGAUUGGUAUCAUCACCAACAUGAACUGUUUCAGAAAGUGUUUCUUGCCUGGACCAUGA
This 474-nucleotide long non-coding RNA is filed under the name Ursus maritimus (polar bear). Its description in RNAcentral is "lncRNA (ENSUMAG00000017704.1)". Lineage: Eukaryota; Metazoa; Chordata; Mammalia; Carnivora; Ursidae. The record is from RNAcentral.